ACGGGUAUAGUUCAAUGGUAGAAUAGAGGUCUCCAAAACCUUCGAUACGGGUUCGAGUCCUGUUACCCGUG
This 71-nucleotide transfer RNA is filed under the name Sediminibacterium sp. RNAcentral's name for it is "tRNA-Trp". It matches the Rfam family "tRNA". From Rfam's summary of the family: Transfer RNA (tRNA) molecules are approximately 80 nucleotides in length. Lineage: Bacteria; Pseudomonadati; Bacteroidota; Chitinophagia; Chitinophagales; Chitinophagaceae. The record is from RNAcentral.